This is a non-coding RNA of Triticum aestivum (bread wheat), 125 nucleotides long. Lineage: Eukaryota; Viridiplantae; Streptophyta; Magnoliopsida; Poales; Poaceae. The record is from Rfam.
CUUGUACUCCUUCCGUCCGAAAAUACUUGUCUUAGAAAUGGAUAAAAAUGGAUGUAUCUAUAACUAAAAUAAGUCUACAUACAAUUAUUUUUAGGACAAGUAUUUCCGGACGGAGGGAGUAGGUG